Molecule: ribosomal RNA, 609 nt
Filed under: Staphylococcus aureus
Lineage: Bacteria; Bacillati; Bacillota; Bacilli; Caryophanales; Staphylococcaceae
Description: partial 23S ribosomal RNA
Rfam family: Bacterial large subunit ribosomal RNA
Source: RNAcentral
ACAUUGUGUCUUCGAGUCGUUGAUUUCACACUGCCGAGAAAAGCCUCUAGAUAGAAAAUAGGUGCCCGUACCGCAAACCGACACAGGUAGUCAAGAUGAGAAUUCUAAGGUGAGCGAGCGAACUCUCGUUAAGGAACUCGGCAAAAUGACCCCGUAACUUCGGGAGAAGGGGUGCUCUUUAGGGUUAACGCCCAGAAGAGCCGCAGUGAAUAGGCCCAAGCGACUGUUUAUCAAAAACACAGGUCUCUGCUAAACCGUAAGGUGAUGUAUAGGGGCUGACGCCUGCCCGGUGCUGGAAGGUUAAGAGGAGUGGUUAGCUUCUGCGAAGCUACGAAUCGAAGCCCCAGUAAACGGCGGCCGUAACUAUAACGGUCCUAAGGUAGCGAAAUUCCUUGUCGGGUAAGUUCCGACCCGCACGAAAGGCGUAACGAUUUGGGCACUGUCUCAACGAGAGACUCGGUGAAAUCAUAGUACCUGUGAAGAUGCAGGUUACCCGCGACAGGACGGAAAGACCCCGUGGAGCUUUACUGUAGCCUGAUAUUGAAAUUCGGCACAGCUUGUACAGGAUAGGUAGGAGCCUUUGAAACGUGAGCGCUAGCUUACGUGGAG